GGCGCUUUCAUCUAACGGUUAGGAUACAAGAUUCUCAAUCUUGGCAUACGGGUUCGAUUCCCGUAAGCGCUAC
Molecule: transfer RNA, 73 nt
Filed under: Bacteroidetes bacterium ADurb.BinA104
Lineage: Bacteria; Pseudomonadati; Bacteroidota
Description: tRNA-Glu
Rfam family: tRNA
About the family: Transfer RNA (tRNA) molecules are approximately 80 nucleotides in length. Their secondary structure includes four short double-helical elements and three loops (D, anti-codon, and T loops).
Source: RNAcentral